AAUAUCCCAUCUAAACCUCCCUCUGUCAGUUUAAAAUCAUUGCCCCUCUUCCUGUCACUAUCAGCCCAUGUAAAAUGUCACUCUCCCUCCUUUUUUUACAACCCCAUUUAGGCACAGGAAGGAGCUCUCAGGUCCCCCUGGAGCCUUCUCCAGACUGAACAACCUCAGGUCUCCCAGCCUGUCUUUGUGGCAGAGGUGCUCCAGCUCCCAGAACAUCUUCAUGGCUGAUACUGCCAUGUCCCUCCCAAAAGCAGAUGUUCUCAAUGUACAACAGUCCCAGGGCUGGUGACUCUCUUUUACUCAGAGCUACAGCAGACUCGCAGAGGAGCUCUCAGGUGGUGUUAUCCAUAGGGAGUUCUGGAACAGAAAUGUGGACUCCAGGACCUAAGCAAGUAAAAUGCUUGGAAAAUACCUUGCUCAUCCCAACAUCCAGCAUUAGGAGCAACCUCUCUUCGUGAGACUUUCACCCAGAAACACCAGCAAGUUUCAAAUUUGGUGGCUGUUCCCUUAAAUCAUCAAGCUGUGAAUGUGAACCCCUGGUCUGGCUCCCACUGCACCUCCACUGUGCUGUUCAAUCCCACCAGCAGAGUGUCUCCCAGGAUGAGAAAUAGCUGCUAAAGCACAGGAGAGCUCUAAAAGGUUGGGAACGUGCUCAAAACAUCAACAAAUUGAUCUGUACAGGGCUCCUGCUGUGAGCACCAGUAUAAAAAAACAGGAUGGGAGAAACGAGACAGGCUGGUUUUGCAUGAGAUGACAGAAAUGAAUUGCAGGGGAGCUUGGGGAAUUUUCACUGCAAGCUGUUGGAAAACUGUGGUGUGUCCACUCUGGAAAGGCUGUCUGUAAGGCCAUGCUCCAGCAAGGCACAGUUGUAAUGGGUGUGUUGAAUGAUGGGAUGUUCCAUAUGGGGUCUGCUCUGUGCCUGCCCCCAUUUACCUGCUGCAGAUGGUGAAGGGGUCCUAGAUAUUGUGGAACCCCAGAAUGGUUUGGGUUGGAAGGGACCUUAAAGCUCAUCUUGUUUCACAUCCCUGCCAUGGGCAGGGACACCCCCCACUAGACCAGGUUGCUCCAAGCCCCAUCCAGCUUGUUCUCGAACACUUCCAGGGAUGCAGCAUUCACAGCUUCUCUGGGUAAGAUGUGGGUGGGUACAGCUCUCCCUUAAUGGGCUGCUCUUCUUGGGGCCGUGCCAGC
Molecule: long non-coding RNA, 1188 nt
Filed under: Cyanistes caeruleus (blue tit)
Lineage: Eukaryota; Metazoa; Chordata; Aves; Passeriformes; Paridae
Description: lncRNA (ENSCCEG00000018939.1)
Source: RNAcentral